GGACAGAAAAACAGCCUAUCCCAAGAAUUGGAGGCCGUGGUUUCAGUACCCUCCUCCCUCUUCCCUUUUCCCAGUCCUGCGUGCUCUCUUUACCUUGUGAGGACACAGCAAGGUGGCCAUUUGCCACCAGGAAGAGAGCUCUCACCAGAAACUGAAUUGAUCAACAGCACAUUGAUCUUGGAUUUCUCAGCCUCCAAAACUACAACUGCAUAUAUCCUGAUGGAUUGACCCAUACCUUGGAAAGAGAGCCUGCUGUGACUGCAUCUGCAAUUUGAAUCAUGAUUUUCAAAAGAAUUAAACCAGAAAAAGAAAACUACCCUGGCAUG
This is a long non-coding RNA of Bos taurus (domestic cattle), 326 nucleotides long. NCBI's taxonomy places the organism in Eukaryota, Metazoa, Chordata, Mammalia, Artiodactyla, Bovidae. The record is from Ensembl.